This 476-nucleotide ribosomal RNA is filed under the name Rana chensinensis (Chinese brown frog). RNAcentral's name for it is "partial 12S ribosomal RNA". It matches the Rfam family "Bacterial small subunit ribosomal RNA", at positions 853 to 1533 of the family's 1533-position model. The record is from RNAcentral. Lineage: Eukaryota; Metazoa; Chordata; Amphibia; Anura; Ranidae.
UUAACUUACACCCACACCGCCAGGGGAUUACGAGCAAUGCUUAAAACCCAAAGGAUUUGACGGUGUCCCACCCUACUAGAGGAGCCUGUUCUAUAAUCGAUAAUCCCCGCUUCACCUAACCAUCCCUCGCCUCCAGUCUGUAUACCUCCGUCGAAAGCUUACCAUGUGAACGCCCGCAGUAGGCUUAAUGAUCCACCAUCAGUACGUCAGGUCAAGGUGCAGCUUAAGAGAUGGCAAGCAAUGGGCUACAAUUUCUAAUUUAGAACAAACGAAAGACUAUGUGAAACCCUAGUCAUGAAGGUGGAUUUAGUAGUAAAAAGAAAGCAGAGUGUUCUUUUUAACCCGGCUCUGGGACGCGUACACACCGCCCGUCACCCUCUUCAAUAGUACCUCAUCUGUUCAUAACCCAACACCACAUUUUAGAAGAGGCAAGUCGUAACAUGGUAAGUGUACUGGAAAGUGCCCUUGGUAUACUA